UUCCUACGGGGGGCAGCAGUGGGGAGUAUUGCACAAUGGGCGAAAGCCUGAUGCAGCAACGCCGCGUGAGCGAUGAAGGCCUUCGGGUCGUAAAGCUCUGUCCUCAAGGAAGAUAAUGACGGUACUUGAGGAGGAAGCCCCGGCUAACUACGUGCCAGCAGCCGCGGUAAUACGUAGGGGGCUAGCGUUAUCCGGAAUCACUGGGCGUAAAGGGCGCGUAGGCGGUUUAAUAAGUCAGUGGUGAAAACUGAGGGCUCAACCCUCAGCCUGCCACUGAUACUGUUAGACUUGAGUAUGGAAGAGGG
This 305-nucleotide ribosomal RNA is filed under the name uncultured bacterium. Its description in RNAcentral is "bacterial SSU rRNA". It matches the Rfam family "Bacterial small subunit ribosomal RNA", at positions 336 to 658 of the family's 1533-position model. The record is from RNAcentral.